This is a long non-coding RNA of Odontomachus brunneus, 3235 nucleotides long. RefSeq lists it as uncharacterized. Lineage: Eukaryota; Metazoa; Arthropoda; Insecta; Hymenoptera; Formicidae. The record is from RefSeq and is a predicted model, not a curated record. The transcript has 3 exons.
CGUAUCCUGAAACAAAUCGCACGUCAUCUUAUCGUUCUUCUUCUAAAGAUAUCAGUGCAAUUAACGACUUCUCCAAGCUCAGCAUGCAAUUGACAGCAAUUUCUUAUUCCAGAUAAUGACAAUAAUGAGCGUAUAGUGGGUUGUGAAACGAUUUAUUUAUUUAUUUAACAUAGACAAGUCCCUUUAUCAUGUGUCAGUAGAACAUAGGAUAUGCUGUGCUUACAUAUAUAAGUACAUUUAGUCAGAUAAGGCAAAGCAACAAUCGAAAAAAACAAAAAACCCGAUAUAUAAACAAAAUAAACGCGAGCAGUAAAGUAUCAACAUCGGUAAUACAAGUCGUGAUCAGCAAUAUAAGCAAUUAAAUUCAAGUAGCAGAAACAAUCAUACCCUCGUAAAUCGGCACUGUAUGAGACACCCCGUCGCCGCUAUCCAGGACGAUGCCGGUCGUGCGGCCCGACGCGUACAACGACAGGACAGCUUGAAUAGCGACGUACAUGGCCGGUGUGUUGAAGGUCUCGAACAUGAUCUGCGUCAUCUUCUCGCGGUUGGCCUUCGGGUUCAACGGUGCCUCCGUCAGCAAAACGGGAUGCUCCUCCGGCGCAAUUCGCAGCUCGUUGUAGAAAGUGUGGUGCCAGAUCUUCUCCAUAUCGUCCCAAUUGGUGACGAUGCCGUGCUCGAUGGGAUAUUUGACGGCAUUGUUGCUCCAAAUAUAUCUCUACCUGAUAUCGGGGCCUUCCGACGAUAGAUGGGAAUACGGCUCGAGGAGCAUCGUCCCCGGCAAACCCUGCCUUGCACAUUCCGGACCCAUUGUCGAUCACCAACGCGGCCACGUCGUCGUCGCACAUUUCGGAAGAGUGUAUUAUCUCCACGUGUUGAAUAAAGUGUUGUGACGACGUUGAAAUUAGUGUUCGGUUAACGGCGCAAACGGAUAACUAGGACAAUCGGAGAGGAUAAAAUGGACUAGAUGUUACACCGUCCUCACGUGACAUUGGCUUCUGGAGCAUUGUGUUUUCCUGGAAGGAAGAGUCGCUUUAUAUGAGCUCCCCUCCUGUUACUGUUGCUCGGCCGCACAGGAGUAUCCGUUUUUACGCCAAGACAACCGGGAACAACCGGGGUGGAUCUUCGAAGCCGCUUAAUAGUAGCAGAUUUCUUUCAUAAUAAGUGCAAAGAAAAUACUUUCGCGCUCGCUGUAGAACGGAUUCGUGAUUGGGCGAUUUUUUUUAGUGAAAACUGCUCGAGUUUCCUUUCAAGUUUACAUGACAAAAACGUUGUUAAUAAGAGAAAUACAACGUACAUUGUCAGCGUGACAUUGCGAAUGAAAUAUACAAAUAUCACAAAUGUGAUACAUAAAUGAGAAGAGCGUAUAACAAGCGAAAAGUAACAUUCCGACCUUAGCGAUACGACAUAGCGCGAUGUAAUAUACAGACGUAAUUUGUCGUCAUUACAAAAACACUGUGUGUCCAUCAGAUAGGAUUCUUGCAUAUUUAUUACGCGUUUUUAAAAAAUAUCUAGCGACUUUUUUAAUACCGUACUUAAUUGCUCUCUUUAAUGCAUGCCAAUUACUACUACUGGCAGUUACUAACCGCUUGUAAUGUUAUCUCCAUUGAAUGCGCAAAGUUCUCGCGGUAACUAGAGCAUACGCCUUCCUGCGUUUUUCGAGUCUUGCAUUGAUUUUUCUGCAAAUUCUCGGUGGACCGCAAUUUCUUUAGAUAGACCGCGAGAAGAAUGUAAUUUCACUUGCAGAAAUUUUUCGAAUGAACAAAUACUAUGCAAGACAAAAUGUUCCUUAAAAUCUACUAAAAAUAUCUAUAAAUCGUGAUAAAUAUAAAUGUCUCUUUUUCUCUUUCAUUCUCUCUCUCUCUCUCUUUCUCAUCUAUCUAUCUACUUCUAUCUUUCUAUCUCUCAAGCUAACAAGUUAUUAUUUCAUUAUUCUGUUUGGUUCUUAAAUUACACGAUAUGCAAAUUAUAUCACUUAUGUCCUAGAGAACUAACAGUAACAUUUCUACAAGUUGUCAUUGAGGCUUUGAGAUACAGGUUUCUCGAUUCUACGAUUUCUGCCCACAUGUGUCGCAGGGUGACAAAAUUGGACAAAAAGAGGUAACGAAAGCUCAUGAGGUUAAUGGGGCAACAGGCCAAGAUGUCUUAAUUGUUUUAGAUUGCCUCCUACAAAUGUGUGUAGCUUUCUAAAAAUAGAUAAUCGAUGUACACCUCAAGAUACUUGUGUGAUAUUUUUUUUAUAUUAUUUGCGCAGGAAUUGCAAUAGAGAGAGUAAUUAUCUAUAUAUUUACUAAAUUUUACAAUGAACUUGUACUGUUUAGAGCUAUCAAGAAGACUUCAUAUCGAAAAACGUAACUUAAGAAUAAGAAUGAAUAUUAGUUUCUUUUUUACUGAUUCGUUGAUAUAUCAACGCGGUCGCAGACUGAAUCGCAGUCUAGUCUCAUUGCGUUCGCAUCACUUGCGGAUAACAAGCUUUAUUCCAUUAUGGAUAUUUUACAAACCAGCGCACAUUACAGCGAGUCGCUGUUCCGUAGACUGAUCACCUACCAGAGCGUCCUUACAAUCGCCAUAUUAUGCUCCAUAAUUAACUGUUCAAUUAAUGAUACUAAUUAGGCUGUGAAAUUAAGUACCCACUCCAGUUUGAAACUUUUGCAUAAAACCACUCCUAACAUUUUUAACGGCAUGGUGCUGGUGAUAAAAUGACCACGUAUAAACAAUCGCAUUCGCGAGUCAUGUUAUAUAAAAUACCCGAUUAAAAUUAGACAAGCGACACGCAUCACUUCACAGUUAUAUACACUUUUGUACACACGCGUUCAUAUGUACAUACACACAUACAUAUAUAUAUAUAUAUCCAAUGAACGAGAGGUGCAUGUCAGAAUAGCAUGGAGAAAGCAAUUGGAAAGAAAAAUAUGAUCGCGCACUUGUCAAGUACAGCUACUUGGAAAAAUGACUUUACAAAUAUCUUGGACUACACGUGUAUAAGUUUAUAGGCGCUUACAUAUUUUACACACAUAAUCGAUCAAAAGGCAAAAUAACAAACAUGUUUAAUGUCCUUUUUUCUUCGUUUCUUAAUGAUUCCGACGUGCACUUCCGCGCAAAUAGAUAUCGUUUCAUCUUUGUACAAAUACUGCACAAAAAGCAGUAUUAUAUAUCGGUAUGUACGAACGUUCUUUAUAAAAUAAUUUGACUUCAAGUAGUGAGAAUAAAUUAGGAAAUGUCGAUUGCCAACGUCAUUAUA